CUGUCUCUUGCUCCAAGUGUUUGGACGGAACAG
Non-coding RNA from Myotis lucifugus (little brown bat), 33 nucleotides. NCBI's taxonomy places the organism in Eukaryota, Metazoa, Chordata, Mammalia, Chiroptera, Vespertilionidae. The record is from Rfam.